AACGAUUAGGUAAAACUGACGGACUAGGCGACUCUUCCGCAAGGAUUUGUUGUUUGGGAAGUUAGUUAAAUCUCAUUGUUUAGAGGAAGGAGAAGUCGUAACAAGGUAUCCGUAGUGAACCUGCGGAUGGAUCAUUUC
Molecule: ribosomal RNA, 138 nt
Filed under: Heterostelium candidum
Lineage: Eukaryota; Evosea; Eumycetozoa; Acytosteliales; Acytosteliaceae
Description: partial 18S ribosomal RNA
Rfam family: Eukaryotic small subunit ribosomal RNA
Source: RNAcentral